AUUGAACGCUGGCGGCAUGCCUUACACAUGCAAGUCGAACGGCAGCGGACCUUCGGGUGCCGGCGAGUGGCGAACGGGUGAGUAAUAUAUCGGAACGUACCUUUCAGUGGGGGGAUAACGUAGCGAAAGUUACGCUAAUACCGCAUAUUCUGUGAGCAGGAAAGCAGGGGAUCGCAAGACCUUGCGCUGAUUGAGCGGCCGAUAUCAGAUUAGCUAGUUGGUGAGGUAAAGGCUCACCAAGGCGACGAUCUGUAGCGGGUCUGAGAGGAUGAUCCGCCACACUGGAACUGAGACACGGUCCAGACUCCUACGGGAGGCAGCAGUGGGGAAUUUUGGACAAUGGGGGCAACCCUGAUCCAGCCAUGCCGCGUGAGUGAAGAAGGCCUCGGUU
Molecule: ribosomal RNA, 391 nt
Filed under: uncultured bacterium
Lineage: Bacteria
Description: bacterial SSU rRNA
Rfam family: Bacterial small subunit ribosomal RNA
Source: RNAcentral